This 433-nucleotide ribosomal RNA is filed under the name uncultured bacterium. RNAcentral's name for it is "partial 16S ribosomal RNA". It matches the Rfam family "Bacterial small subunit ribosomal RNA", at positions 29 to 507 of the family's 1533-position model. The record is from RNAcentral.
AAUGAACGCUGGCGGCAUGCCUAACACAUGCAAGUCGAACGAAGGCUUCGGCCUGAGUGGCGCACGGGUGCGUAACGCGUGGGAAUCUGCCCUUGGGUUCGGAAUAACAGUUAGAAAUGACUGCUAAUACCGGAUGAUGUCGUAAGACCAAAGAUUUAUCGCCCAAGGAUGAGCCCGCGUAGGAUUAGCUAGUUGGUGGGGUAAAGGCCUACCAAGGCGACGAUCCUUAGCUGGUCUGAGAGGAUGAUCAGCCACACUGGGACUGAGACACGGCCCAGACUCCUACGGGAGGCAGCAGUGGGGAAUAUUGGACAAUGGGCGAAAGCCUGAUCCAGCAAUGCCGCGUGAGUGAUGAAGGCCUUAGGGUUGUAAAGCUCUUUUACCCGGGAUGAUAAUGACAGUACCGGGAGAAUAAGCUCCGGCUAACUUCGUG